AACGAACGCUGGCGGCAGGCUUAACACAUGCAGGUCGAACGGGUGCAGCAAUGCAUCAGUGGCAGACGGGUGAGUAACACGUGGGAACCUUCCUAGGGGUACGGAACAACUCAGGGAAACUUGAGCUAAUACCGUAUACGUCCGUGAGGAGAAAGAUUUAUCGCCCUUAGACGGGCCCGCGUCGGAUUAGCUAGUUGGUGGGGUAACGGCCUACCAAGGCGACGAUCCGUAGCUGAUCUUAGAGGAUGAUCAGCCACACUGGGACUGAGACACGGCCCAGACUCCUACGGGAGGCAGCAGUGGGGAAUCUUGGACAAUGGGCGCAAGCCUGAUCCAGCCAUGUCGCGUGAGUGAAGAAGGUCUUCGGAUUGUAAAGCUCUUUUGCCAGGGACGAUAAUGACGGUACCUGGAGAAUAAGCCCCGGCAAACUUCGUGCCAGCCGCCGCAGUAA
This 451-nucleotide ribosomal RNA is filed under the name uncultured bacterium. RNAcentral's name for it is "partial 16S ribosomal RNA". It matches the Rfam family "Bacterial small subunit ribosomal RNA", at positions 29 to 523 of the family's 1533-position model. The record is from RNAcentral.